Molecule: ribosomal RNA, 208 nt
Filed under: uncultured bacterium
Lineage: Bacteria
Description: partial 16S ribosomal RNA
Rfam family: Bacterial small subunit ribosomal RNA
Source: RNAcentral
CGUGUAGGCGGGGAUUUAAGUAAGGUGUGAAAACUCCAGGCUCAACUUGGAGAUUGCACUUUAAACUGGAUCUCUUGAGGGCAGGAGAGGAAAGUGGAAUUCCUAGUGUAGCGGUGAAAUGCGUAGAUAUUAGGAGGAACACCAGUGGCGAAGGCGACUUUCUGGACUGUACCUGACGCUGAGGCGCGAAAGCGUGGGUAGCGAACAG